UCCUAACAAUCACAAUGGUGUGAUUGACUAAGCCAGAUAGGAGGUUUAUAUG
This 52-nucleotide non-coding RNA is filed under the name unclassified sequences. The record is from RNAcentral.